Molecule: ribosomal RNA, 431 nt
Filed under: uncultured bacterium
Lineage: Bacteria
Description: bacterial SSU rRNA
Rfam family: Bacterial small subunit ribosomal RNA
Source: RNAcentral
UGCACCUCGCGUUAUUGGAGCGGCUGAUGUCUGAUUAGCUAGUUGGUGAGGUAAAGGCUUACCAAGGCGACGAUCAGUAGCUGGUCUGAGAGGACGGCCAGCCACACUGGGACUGAGACACGGCCCAGACUCCUACGGGAGGCAGCAGUGGGGAAUUUUGGACAAUGGGGGCAACCCUGAUCCAGCCAUGUCGCGUGAGUGAAGAAGGCCUUCGGGUUGUAAAGCUCUUUCGUCCGGAACGAAACGGUGGAUGCUAACACCAUCCAUUACUGACGGUACCGGAAGAAGAAGCACCGGCUAACUACGUGCCAGCAGCCGCGGUAAUACGUAGGGUGCGAGCGUUAAUCGGAAUUACUGGGCGUAAAGCGUGCGCAGGCGGUGGCUCAAGUCAGAUGUGAAAUCCCUAGGCUUAACCUGGGAAUUGCAUUUGA